This is a long non-coding RNA of Ictalurus punctatus (channel catfish), 252 nucleotides long. The record is from Ensembl. NCBI's taxonomy places the organism in Eukaryota, Metazoa, Chordata, Actinopteri, Siluriformes, Ictaluridae.
GAAAGACUCGCGCAGCCCACCCAGAGACGCCAAAUUGUCGUGGAAAUUAGACAACACUCGCAGACUCGUCCUCUGAAGGUUGCUCUGCCCCAAUUCGACGUGCUGCACCGGGAUUUGAGAGGAGAAGAUUGUGUGUCGAAGACCGAUAUGUCGGGAGGAAUGUGGAUGUGUGGUUUGUCUGUGAUUGUGUGCAUACUAUUGAGUAGCGAAUAUUUUUCCCGGUGUUUGAGUGAGAUCGCUUGCUAGUUUUAU